Molecule: long non-coding RNA, 381 nt
Organism: Labeo rohita (rohu)
Lineage: Eukaryota; Metazoa; Chordata; Actinopteri; Cypriniformes; Cyprinidae
Exons: 3
Source: RefSeq, a predicted model, not a curated record
CACAAAUCCAAACCCUGAGGAAAGAAAGAGUCCAGACACUCAGACCACAGUUUACAUUUGGAUUUCCACUUCAGCCAUCAUUAUAAACAAUGUCUAAGGUUCAUGUACUUCAGUUCAACUUCAGUGCUGCUCUGGUCUCCUGUCUGUCUCUCCAUGUGUCUCCUCUCCUCCACCUCUCCACUGGGUUAAAAGGCUGCGGUAAAGCCAUGCAAGCUGUCAUAAUCGAUGUGCUGCCGAACCGAGUACAGGAUGGAGGGCCAUGGAGAGGAGACGGAGACAGAUUGGACCAGGUUUAGGAAGAAAGGAGCAAAUGGAAGAACGGCUGCCAUUGACGCACAUAGUUAUUUCAUGAAAUAAGGAGAAAGGGAGCUUUACCUCUGU